RNAcentral lists this ribosomal RNA (449 nucleotides) under uncultured bacterium. Its description in RNAcentral is "bacterial SSU rRNA". It matches the Rfam family "Bacterial small subunit ribosomal RNA", at positions 29 to 524 of the family's 1533-position model. The record is from RNAcentral.
AACGAACGCUGGCGGCAGGCCUAACACAUGCAAGUCGAACGCCGUAGCAAUACGGAGUGGCAGACGGGUGAGUAACACGUGGGAACGUACCCUUCGGUUCGGGAUAACUCAGGGAAACUUGAGCUAAUACCGGAUACGUCCGAGAGGAGAAAGAUUUAUCGCCGAGGGAUCGGCCCGCGUCUGAUUAGCUUGUUGGUGAGGUAACGGCUCACCAAGGCGACGAUCAGUAGCUGGUCGAGAGGAUGAUCAGCCACAUUGGGACUGAGACACGGCCCAAACUCCUACGGGAGGCAGCAGUGGGGAAUAUUGGACAAUGGGCGCAAGCCUGAUCCAGCCAUGCCGCGUGGGUGAUGAAGGCCUUAGGGUUGUAAAGCCCUUUCGGCGGGGAAGAUAAUGACGGUACCCGCAGAAGAAGCCCCGGCUAACUUCGUGCCAGCCGCCGCCGUAAU